Molecule: RNase P RNA, 371 nt
Filed under: Ramlibacter henchirensis
Lineage: Bacteria; Pseudomonadati; Pseudomonadota; Betaproteobacteria; Burkholderiales; Comamonadaceae
Description: RNase P RNA component class A
Rfam family: Bacterial RNase P class A
About the family: Ribonuclease P (RNase P) is a ubiquitous endoribonuclease, found in archaea, bacteria and eukarya as well as chloroplasts and mitochondria. Its best characterised activity is the generation of mature 5'-ends of tRNAs by cleaving the 5'-leader elements of precursor-tRNAs.
Source: RNAcentral
GAAGCACGCCAGACCGCCGCUGGUGCGAUCGCCGGAAGGCGGCACUGGAGGAAGGUCCGGACUGCACAGGGCAGCGUAGCAGGCAACACCUGUCCACCGCGAGGUGAGGAUCAGAGCAACAGAGACGUAGUCCGCGCAGGCGGGCUCGCACCGAAGGCGCAGCCGGAGGUACGUAGCCCACUCGCUUGGGCGGGGUGAAACGGGCAAUCUCUACGCGCAGCAAUACCAAAUAGGCCGGCGAUGAUGUGGCUCCGCGGAGCCGGCGGGUAGGUAGCACCGAGCCGUGGGGGCGACCCCCGGCCCAGAGGAAUGGCGGUCACGGCGAGGGAAACCGAGCCGCACAGAAUCCGGCCUAUCGGCGCGCUUCACAA